This 534-nucleotide long non-coding RNA is filed under the name Phoenix dactylifera (date palm). RNAcentral describes it as "long non-coding RNA (PDAC_LNC021797)". Lineage: Eukaryota; Viridiplantae; Streptophyta; Magnoliopsida; Arecales; Arecaceae. The record is from RNAcentral.
UCUGGAGAUUACUCCAUUAGGAGCCCCAAAAGAGAGAUAAUGAGCCUCGAGGUACCGAAUCCACUUAGAACAAAUUUGUGUGUGUUUUAAGAGUUUUAUGUUUUUAUUGAUUUCCAUUGAUUUCUUUUACAUAUUUCGCCCCUUUUACAUACUUUAUACAUAUUUCUCCCCCUUUUUGUCAUCAUAUCAAAAAGGAGGCAAUCACACACAAUCAAUGGCACAACCAAUCAUCAAAUGGCACAUAAUUGAAGAUAAAAUGUCUACUCAUUGUAUUGAUAUGAAUGUGAAUACAUAUGAGAAUACAAUAAGUAAAGUAAAACAAGACAAAACAUAAAAACAUCUAUGGCCUCCUCGAGGAUGAGGCACCUCCUCUCGAGGAUGUGGGUCCUCCUCUCAUGGAUGUGGCUCCUCCUCUCAAUCGGCUCUGCUCCAUGAGGAGGGUGACUGCAUCUGUAACAUGGCCAAGCUGCGUGAUAAUAGACGUAGUGGCUCUGCUAUGUGUAGUGGAGAGCUCAGUCACCGACGUCUGAAGCC